CCUACGGGUGGCAGCAGUAGGGAAUAUUGCUCAAUGGGGGAAACCCUGAAGCAGCAACGCCGCGUGGAGGAUGAAGGUUUUAGGAGUGUAAACUCCUUUUGGUAGAGAAGAGAAUGACGGUAUGUAACGAAUAAGGACCGGCUAACACCGUGACACCAGCCGCGGUAAAACGGAGGGUGCCAGCGUUACUCGGAAUCACUGGGCGGUAAGAGCGCGUAGGAGGGAUAGCAAGUCAGAUGUGAAUUCCUAUGGCUUAACCAUAGAACUGCAUUUGAAACUGUUAUUCUAGAGUAUGGGCGAGGUAGGUGGAUUUCUUGGUGUAGCGGUCAAAUCCGUCGAGAUCACG
Molecule: ribosomal RNA, 346 nt
Filed under: uncultured bacterium
Lineage: Bacteria
Description: partial 16S ribosomal RNA
Rfam family: Bacterial small subunit ribosomal RNA
Source: RNAcentral